This 226-nucleotide ribosomal RNA is filed under the name uncultured bacterium. RNAcentral describes it as "partial 16S ribosomal RNA". It matches the Rfam family "Bacterial small subunit ribosomal RNA", at positions 538 to 763 of the family's 1533-position model. The record is from RNAcentral.
GCGUUAUCCGGAUUUAUUGGGUUUAAAGGGUGCGUAGGCGGUUCUUUAAGUCAGGGGUGAAAGACGGUAGCUUAACUAUCGCAGUGCCUUUGAUACUGAAGAACUUGAAUACACUUGAGGUAGGCGGAAUGUGACAAGUAGCGGUGAAAUGCAUAGAUAUGUCACAGAACACCAAUUGCGAAGGCAGCUUACUAAAGUGUCAUUGACGCUGAGGCACGAAAGCGUG